RNAcentral lists this ribosomal RNA (387 nucleotides) under uncultured bacterium. RNAcentral's name for it is "bacterial SSU rRNA". It matches the Rfam family "Bacterial small subunit ribosomal RNA", at positions 128 to 507 of the family's 1533-position model. The record is from RNAcentral.
GCCUAUUAGGUGGGGGAUAACGAAUACGAAAGGUUCGCUAAUACCGCAUACGUCCGUACGGAGGAAAGGGGGGGAUCUUCGGACCUCUCGCUAAUAGAUGAGCCUAGGCCGGAUUAGCUAGUUGGUAGGGUAAAGGCCUACCAAGGCGACGAUCUGUAGCUGGUCUGAGAGGAUGGCCAGCCACACUGGAACUGAGACACGGUCCAGACUCCUACGGGAGGCAGCAGUGGGGAAUAUUGGACAAUGGGGGCAACCCUGAUCCAGCCAUGCCGCGUGUGUGAAGAAGGCCUUCGGGUUGUAAAGCACUUUAAGCGAGGAGGAAGGUUUUUAGUUUAAUACACUAAAGAAUUGACGUUACUCGCAGAAUAAGCACCGGCUAACUCUGUG